UACUUUGAGACCUCAGCAAAAGAGAAUUAUAAUGUCGAUGAAGCAUUUCUAUGCGUUGCAAGAACUGCACUAGCUACUGAACAUGAACAUGACAUAUACUUCCAGGGUAUAUCAGAAACUGUAUCAGAAGUUGAACAAAGAGGAGGAUGUGCAUGCUGAGAAAGGAUCAAAUAUACAUAUAAAAGUACUGGACUUGGAAUCUAUCUCCAAUAGAUCCAACGGUGCAGAAAUAAGGCAGACGUACUCAUCGAAAAGACACAGUCUCUCACGCUGAAACAGAGGGAUGGAUAGAAACCUCAGAAACGCAGGCCCAAGCCCUAGCGAGCGAACAAAUAUAGAGAUCGAAGAAGAAGAGAACAAAAACUACUAAGCUCCGAUCAUGGCGUUCACUUCACGUCUUCUAUCCAGAUCCAAACAGGUAUUUUCAGAUCAAUUUCUCUUUAUCCACGUUUUCAUCCCUUAGUUCAUCGAAUCAUAAGCUCAUUUCCCUUAAUUAUUACUCACUGUUUUCGAUUCCUUUUAUCCUUCGUUUGGUUUCCGAGAAAAUGACAGCAGCCCGAGGAAAAAUUAAGUGGAACUAAGAGAAAUGCCGAAUCUAAGUCAAAGUGGCUGCGUUAUACAAUGUUAUUGUUGUUAUUAUUUUGAAUUUUGGAUUUUGAUUUUAAUAGAUUAGAUAUGGAAAUGAAUCUGAUCAUGUGUAUUGGUGUUUUUGGUCUGCACUGAUAAUUUGGGAUUAAUAUGUACAUGCAUGAGGGUUUGAUGUUAUGAACUUUUUAUAGUGGGUGGCUCUGAACAUGGCUGUAUUUGCUGGUAAAAUGGAAUUAACUCUGAAAUGAAUAGAUUGUCACUGGAAAUUUAUACUUUGAUUGGGUUUUGGGGGGAAACAAUUGUAUGUAGUUUUAAAUCAUGGUCCCAUGCUUUGUUCCUGAGAAUACUGAAUUGGGUCCACCCAAGUUUUAUUGUGGUUUUACUGUCUUCUUCACUGCCAUUCUUAGCUUAACCAAUAUGAUAAAUAUUCUGCUAAAUAACUAUGAUUGAUUGGGUAUGCUGCAACUAGUGUGGUUGAUUUCACAUUGAGUUGCAAUGUGAAACCUGAAAUAAUGUUCUCAUACAAAAUCCUGGAAAGAAACUUUGAUGGUGAUAUCAACAAAGCAGAGGUGGGUACAAAACAUACUGCAUUUUAAUCUAAGUUGGAUAAGAUGUUAUUGGCAUUUUCGUUCAUGUUCUUAAGAUUCUAUCCCGAUUGGGGAAGCACUGUGUUUUAUGUUUAUCAUUAUGAUUUUUUUUAGUUUUUAUUUUGAUUUGGUUCCUCUAGUUUUAACAUCUUUUUCUGUUGGAAUUAUACAGCUGUAUGGCAGUCAAGUCAUUCUGCAACAGGAGCAUGUUAUUCCAGUCCGUUAUUUUGCCAAAAAAUCUGAACCUCCAGCUCUUAAGGGAGAUGAGAUGCUAAAGAACAUCUUUCUGGAUGUCAAGAAGAAAUUUGAGACAGCCAUUGGAAUACUUAGGAAGGAGAAGAUCACCAUAGAUCCUGAGGAUCCAGCUGCUGUGAAUCAAUAUGCAAAGGUCAUGAAGACAAUUAGAGAGAAGUAAACAAAUCUUUCCCUUAAUUUUUACCCUUACCAUCUCUCUUUCACUAUAAAAAAUAAAAAUUGAACUAAAAUACAUGUUAUUAUAGUUUCUUGGCUUUCUCCUGAGGUAUAAUAUCUCUAUGUUUAGCAUCCUUUUCCCGUAAUCUAAUUCUGUAAAAUGGCAAGGAUAUUUUAUAUAUAAGCACAAGACAUUGCUACUAAUUCCUUUUUUAAAAUUUUUCAUUCCUUCUUUUUCUGUAAUUAAUGCACAUAUUAUUUUCGUUUAGUACAAAAUAUUUGAGAUUGACUAGCAAUUACAAUAUUCUAUUUUAGACAGAUUUAGAAUAACAUCUCCAUGAUUAGCAUCUCCUUAAUGUUUUUUCUGUAUGCCUUUGGCUCCUGCUAUUAUAUAACUGCUCUUGAAGUAUGUACUAUGAGUAUUUGAGUUAAAUGUUGUAUUUCCUGCAGGGCUGAUUUGUUCUCUGAGUCACAGAGAAUAAAAUACACCAUCGAGACGCGAACUAAGGAUAUUCCAGAUGCUCGGACAUAUUUGUUGACAUUGAAGGAAAUACGAAUUAAGAGAGGUCUCACUGAUGAACUUGGUGCAGAAGCUAUGAUGAUGGAUGCUUUGGAGAAAGUUGAAAAGGAAAUCAAGAAACCUCUCAUGAGGAGUGAUAAGAAAGGAAUGGCUCUUCUAAUGACAGAAUUUGACAAAAUUAAUGGGAAGUAAGAAUCAUUCAACAAUGGAAUCUUUAUUUUGUUUUUGUGAUUAUCAUAUUGUUGUAUGAUCAUGCUUGCUUGGAACCCAUUGAGAUUGCUUUAUCUUUUAUGUAAAACUUAUAAAUGACCAAGUGGUUGGAGCGAAGAUUUUAUGGAACUCAAUUCUGUGUGGCCAUUUGCUUGAAAAAAGGAUAGGACUAGCCACUGUAACUAUGAACAUGAUCUGCAAUUACCAACUACCAAAUUUGUUUGUUCAUUAUAUAUAAUCUAGAGGUGUUGAGUGCUAGUUCAAUGAGUUGGUGUCUCAUAUUGUAUUACAUUUUCCUUAUGGUUUCUUGACAAUGAAUGCUGCUGUUUUUAUCAGAGGUAUGAUGUUGCCGGAAUUUAGGUUGCCUUUAAUGAUGCUUGAAUUUUAUAUCUUUGUUAUUUAUGUCAACAGGCUUGGAAUUCGUAAGGAAGAUCUUCCAAAGUAUGAAGAAGAGUUAGAACUCAAAAUUGCCAAAGCACAAUUAGAGGAGUUGAAGAAGGAUGCUCUUGAGGCCAUGGAAACCCAAAAGAAGAGGGAGGAAUUCAAGGACGAGGCAAUGAUAGAUGUGAAAUCUUUGGACAUCCGGAACUUCAUCUGAGAAUGUGCUGUGCUUGUUGACGGCUUUGAUUUGAUGCUAAACAAUUGUCCUGACACAAAGGAGACCACCUGCAUAGGAGGUGGGGAGUACAUCUGUUUUGCUUGAUAAUAAAGACCCAUCUAUUUUGCAGUUACAACUGCAGCAACUCGGUGGAUAUUAGGCUUUUUUGCCCAUUCAAUUUAAUUGAAAUGAAGAGCUGGAAAUAUGUUGUCACUUCUGCUGUGAAAUGAUAUUUCAGGGAGUUCUCUCCAACAUUUUCUAUUCGGGAACCUAGUGGUAUUAUUUUCAUACUCCCAACACUUUGUCCUGCUGUUUUUUGGCUGAUUCUCUUUUCCUGCACGUUUGCUUCUCAGUGUUGACUCUCAAUUUCUUGUCCCAAUUGCUGUUAGAAAAGCAAGUUGGAUUUAUUGUGAGACUUGGCCUAUGAAGAGUAAGACAUUUUGUGCUGGAUGGCCGUUUUGAAUUGCGUUAUUUCUCUUGCGUUUGCUGAUGAUAAUCCAGGGCUGCGCAUAUGUUGACCGAGACCGAAACCAAAAAACUGGAAUGCAAUUUGUAGUGGACCGAACUGAAUCAAUGUUAAGAGACUAACUAAAUCAAAUCAAAUUGAAAUAACUUGAUCUCAGCUUGGUCAAUCAAUUAUUUCAAUUUGCAUUGUAUCUGUACCCCCGAUAAUCUCAGUUUCUGCUUUGUGUUCUGAGAGUUCAAAUUGUGUCUCAAAGAAACCUUGGUUGGUAUCAAUAUUCAUCAUGCAACAUUCAUACC
This 3676-nucleotide unclassified non-coding RNA is filed under the name Hevea brasiliensis (rubber tree). The record is from RNAcentral. Lineage: Eukaryota; Viridiplantae; Streptophyta; Magnoliopsida; Malpighiales; Euphorbiaceae.